Molecule: ribosomal RNA, 226 nt
Filed under: uncultured bacterium
Lineage: Bacteria
Description: partial 16S ribosomal RNA
Rfam family: Bacterial small subunit ribosomal RNA
Source: RNAcentral
ACGUUGUUCGGAAUUACUGGGCGUAAAGCGAGUGUAGGCGGUUUGAAAAGUCGGGUGUGAAAGCCCUGGGCUCAACCCAGGAAGUGCACUCGAUACUCUCAAGCUAGAGUAUCGGAGAGGUUGGUGGAAUUCUCGGUGUAGAGGUGAAAUUCGUAGAUAUCGAGAGGAACACCGGUGGCGAAGGCGGCCAACUGGACGAAUACUGACGCUGAGACUCGAAAGCGUG